CUCAUUCCUUGUCAAGUUAGAACAGUUGGACCUUGGUGCUAAUGACCUGGAAUUACUGGUAACAAAAGGAGCAACACUAUGAACACGUCUACCAUUGCUGAUAGCGCUGCUAUAUCAUGUUGGGAUUGUCAGUGUUAACCAAAAGCUUUUAUUCAUGUCUGGCAGGAGGGGGAGAAAGACACAUUUCUACUGUGGGUCCAGCAUUUCCAAAACCUUGCUACUGGACAGUCCUUCCUGUUGUCUUCUAUGUUUCCUGUUGGGAGCUUCUGCAGCCAGUAUGCUAACCCAGACACUUCCAAACAUAUUUGCUGCAGUAUUGUGGCACACCAAAAUGUUAGUCUCAUAAACCAUUUGAUGAAUGGUUGUUGGAGGUGUGAAAGCAGUACCAUCGAGUUUUGCAGAGUUUUAGUGUGAUUUGGAAUAUCCUAGAGCAGUUUCUCCCCUGGAAAGGACUGACACUGCUACUGCUGUGACACUGCUACUGCCCUGCUCUGUUACAGCCAGAUAACUCUGGGAGUGCUACCAAACUUGUGCGAGCUUUGGUUAGACCAGAAUGAAGUCCUGUACCCAGCUGCACGCUGUAAUAGCAGAGAAGUCCGCAUCAGAUUCUGUGACAUUUUGUUCAUGUCCAGCUUGGGCUCUAGUGGUCUGAUAAAACACGUCAUUUGAACUGAUUCAAUCUUGAGGUAUGACACGUAUUCCUCUGAUUGUUAAAUGUCAUGCUCUGCAUGAGUGCUUUUUCUUCGGUAGGGCCUACAGCGCAGAGCAACCCCUCAUCCCAGCGAGCUGAAGGUUAUGAAGAAAGUUAUUGAAGUUCCGUGCAAUGAGGAGAAAGACUGAGUGCCACGUCAAAUCACAGUGAGGACUGCCACCUUUCUAACAGCACCACCUCUUGCUGACCUUAGGGCAGAGGAGCAGGGAAAAGAGGGACAAAGGAGCUGGCCAAAUGGGCAGCUGUCUGAGAUGCAGGAGCUGGGGAAGGUUGUAAAGCCAAAAGCUGAAGAGGAGCAUAAAGAAGCAGCUGUCCAAGAGGAGGAAGAUGUAGAAGUAGAAUACAAUGAGGUAGGAAUCUAGGAACUGCAUCAGGGUCAUGUUAAAAAGUGGAAGGAUUUGACAGUUUCUGAGAAAAUGAUAAAUGGAUUUACAGAGUAUGAUUUGGGCAUUGCUGGAGGCAAGUAAAGGCCCUGGAAGCUAACUGCAAGGAGAGAUUCAGGGAGCGUGGUGGAACAGGGUCCAUCAAAGACUAGGAAAAAUAGCAUGGGAAUGGGGCAGGGACUGUGCAAAAGUCAGGCUUACAGGUUUGAGUGCCCAUGAAGCUGACAGAUGUGUCUAGGUGAAGGAGUUAAUAUGGGAGAUGGGGCAAAAACAAGUAUAGGGAAAUUGGGGUAUGUAUUCCUGCAUCUUCUUUAACAUUAAAGCAGAAAUGCUGGCUUUGCAUGCGUUGGUAGUAGAGGGACAGCAGAUUUAUGUGCUGCCUGCAGCUAUGGCUGUUAUCUGAGGCUCGCAGCCUUUCUGGGGCUUUGCCAUUGCAGCCCACUGUACACUUUACUGAGGACACAUUAAUAAGGAGUGAAGAUGAGGAUGAAGAUGAAAAGUGACCAUUCCCAGUGGAGAAACAGAGGCUUAUCCACAAGGACACACCCCAUUAUAAGAAACACUUUUAAGAUAACUAAACUGCCCAAGCCGGAGGAAGUGGUGGCACUCCUGCAGGGGCUGAACAGUGAGGGAGUCCUAAAAGAGGAAGAGGAGCUGGGAAAUCACAAUAACAAUGCAGAACCUGAGGAUCGGGAGGAAGCAUGGGAUGAGGAUAACAGAAAAAGUGGAGCUUUAUCUGCUCAUCCACCAGUGCAGAUAAGGUCUUGAGGGGAUGGGGAAAGGUCAGAGGGGUGCCAGACCACCCUUCUGCUGCUUUGAACUACCAGCCAGGUUGAUGCAGUACAAAUGAAAAUGUUCUCAAGAGGCUCCAGCACUUCAGGAGAAACACGCUGAGGUCAGGAGAACUGAAGUUCUUUCUGGGGCUUAUACAAUUGUCCAACAGCUGUGCCAUGUUGCUUAUGUCUGACUUCUCAC
Non-coding RNA from Anas platyrhynchos (mallard), 2070 nucleotides. NCBI's taxonomy places the organism in Eukaryota, Metazoa, Chordata, Aves, Anseriformes, Anatidae. The record is from RefSeq and is a predicted model, not a curated record.